Non-coding RNA from Myotis davidii, 75 nucleotides. Lineage: Eukaryota; Metazoa; Chordata; Mammalia; Chiroptera; Vespertilionidae. The record is from Rfam.
GGCAGUUCUCAAGUGACGCAUCCUGGAAUUGGGCUCCCUCCUCUCUGGUUCUGGGUGCAUCACCCAAGAACCGCA